RNAcentral lists this ribosomal RNA (465 nucleotides) under uncultured bacterium. RNAcentral's name for it is "partial 16S ribosomal RNA". It matches the Rfam family "Bacterial small subunit ribosomal RNA", at positions 28 to 507 of the family's 1533-position model. The record is from RNAcentral.
GACGAACGCUGGCGGCGUGCUUAACACAUGCAAGUCGAACGGAAAGGCCCUGCUUGCAGGGUACUCGAGUGGCGAACGGGUGAGUAACACGUGGGUGAUCUGCCCUGCACUUCGGGAUAAGCUUGGGAAACUGGGUCUAAUACCGGAUAGGAACCAUCUUUAGUGUGGUGGUUGGAAAGUUUUUUCGGUGUAGGAUGAGCUCGCGGCCUAUCAGCUUGUUGUGGGGUAAUGGCCUACCAAGGCGGCGACGGGUAGCCGGCCUGAGAGGGUGUACGGCCACAUUGGGACUGAGAUACGGCCCAGACUCCUACGGGAGGCAGCAGUGGGGAAUAUUGCACAAUGGGCGCAAGCCUGAUGCAGCGACGCCGCGUGGGGGAUGAAGGCCUUCGGGUUGUAAACUCCUUUCGCUAGGGACGAAGCUUUGUUGUGACGGUACCUAGAUAAGAAGCACCGGCUAACUACGUG